GAGACCCAAGCGCCCUGGGCGAAGCCACCGCGGGGAGGACCUGCGCUCGCGGGGGCUGCUGCGCUCUGCGCUGGGGCCUCUCGGGCUGGGAAUGCGUGGCCCGGCUUUUGAGGAUUUCCUCGGUCCCCGGGCGGAAAUAGCUGGAAUGGAGGGGCCUCUCGAUUGGAGACUUACUGGUCAAAUAUUUACUUUUGUUGAUCACUGGAAACGCUACCUACCACGCAUUGACUAGGACCACAGUGAGGAGGGAACGCUUUAGAUGAUAGAGUUUUGUUUGGGGGCUUUUUUUUGUUUUGUUUUAUUCCAGGAAUUCAGGAAAUUGCCCCAGAAGUCCGAUUUCUGAUGUGUAAAACCUUUUUUUACAGAAAACCACGACUUCCUGGAAAAGUCUUCACCGUAAAUAUUAAUCUCUUUGGCAUGAAGAGGAAAACACUGCAGCUAAUUUUUCAUGGGAUAACAAAAAUAUAAACUGCAAUUUCUUUUAUUUUUUCCCUUUCGAUGGUCUUUUUAAACGAGGAGUAAAGAUUUCAACGCCAGGUCCAUUUUCCAAAUUUUGUACCAGAACCUUGAGGAUGCUUGUCUCUCGCGCGCUUCUCCGCAGACCGAACCCUCUCCGGAACUCAGAGCUGUUCACCCAAGUCAGCGGAGGAGGCCUCCUGGGACUUGAGCCUGAGGGUGGCGAAGAACCCUAGGCAGAGAUCAUCAACUUGGUACCGAUGAGUGACGCGGAGCUUGAACAUUCCAGCGACUUGCUCCAGGGCCACUCCCAGUUAAGAGGCUGAGUGUUAACUGCAAGAGGCUGAGUGUUAACUACGCCGUUGGCUCCAGGAACCGAACCGGGUUUGGAUACAGACCCAGUCACACCAUCCAUGAAAAGCUGUUUCUAUAAUAUGAAAAAUUGUUAAAUGACGCUUUAGUAAAAGCCAUUUAAAGAUCUUUUCUAAUAAAUUUUUCAUCUUUCCAAACAA
RNAcentral lists this long non-coding RNA (968 nucleotides) under Homo sapiens (human). Its description in RNAcentral is "DSP antisense RNA 1 (DSP-AS1)". The record is from RNAcentral. Lineage: Eukaryota; Metazoa; Chordata; Mammalia; Primates; Hominidae.